UCUGGUUGAUCCUGCCAGUAGUGAUAUGCUUGUUUCAAAGAUUAAGCCAUGCAUGUCUAAGUAUAAGCGAACUUAUACAGUGAAACUGCGGAUGGCUCAUUAAAACAGUUUGAAUUUAUUUGAUGAAUGUAUGAGAAUACUACUUGGAUAACCGUAGUAAUUCUAGAGCUAAUACAUGCAACGACGCCCGACCGUUUCACUACGGAAGGGCUGUAUUUAUUGGAUACCAAAACCAUCCUUCCCUCGGGAAGUUUUGUUUGAUGAUUCACAAUAACUGAUCGGAUCGCCACUGUGGUGGCGACAGGUCAUUCAACAUUCUGCCCUAUCAGCUUUCGAUGGUUGUGUAGUGGACAACCAUGGCCAUAACGGGUAACGGAGAAUCAGGGUUCGAUUCCGGAGAAGGAGCUUGAGAAUUGGCUACUACAUCUAAGGAAGGCAGCAGGCGCGCAAAUUACCCAAUCCCGAUUCGGGGAGGUAGUGACAAAAAAUAACAAUACCGGGCCUUUUUGGGCUUGGUAAUUGGAAUGAGGGAGAGUUAAACGGACCAUCGAGUAUCCAUUGGAGGGCAAGUCUGGUGCCAGCAGCUGCGGUAAUACCAGCUCCAAUAGCGUAUAUUAAAGUUGCUGCAGUUAAAAAGCUCGUAGUUGGACUUGUGUGCGCUGUCCGCGGGUGGCCUGCGCCCAAAAGGGCGUUUCGGUUCGGCCCCGGUGGCGCCUUGAAAUCUGCAGCUGGGGGGACGUUGGCCUUAACUGGUCGGCGACCGCACGCCGGCUGCUCGGUUACUGUGAGAAAAUUAGAGUGUUCAAGUCAGGCAUUGGGUGCAAUUGAAUACAUUAGCAUGGAAUAAUAAAAUAUGGCUCCUGCCGUAUUUUGUUGGUUUUGACUGGUGGGAGUAGUGAUUGAUAGGGACGGUUGGGGGUGCUAGUAUUGAGCGGCCAGAGGUGAAAUUCAUGGAUUCGCUCAAGACUAACUUAUGCGAAAGCAUUCACCAAGGACGUCCUCUUUAAUCAAGAACGAAAGUUGGGGGAUCGAAGACGAUCAGAUACCGUCGUAGUCUCAACCAUAAACUAUGUCGACUUGGGAUCGGCGGUAGUUUUUUCAUUAAGACACUGUCGGGACCACGGGAGAAAUCAAAGUGUCUGGACUCUGGGGGAAGUAUGGUCGCAAGGCUGAAACUUGAAGGAAUUGACGGAAGGGCACCACCAGGAGUGGAGCCUGCGGCUUAAUUUGACCCAACACGGGGAAACUUACCAGGUCCAGAGAUGUAGAGGAUUGACAGAUUGAAGCUCUUUCUUGAUCA
RNAcentral lists this ribosomal RNA (1300 nucleotides) under metagenome. RNAcentral's name for it is "SSU rRNA". It matches the Rfam family "Eukaryotic small subunit ribosomal RNA", at positions 1 to 1268 of the family's 1831-position model. The record is from RNAcentral.